RNAcentral lists this ribosomal RNA (484 nucleotides) under uncultured bacterium. RNAcentral describes it as "partial 16S ribosomal RNA". It matches the Rfam family "Bacterial small subunit ribosomal RNA", at positions 29 to 507 of the family's 1533-position model. The record is from RNAcentral.
AUUGAACGCUGGCGGCAUGCUUUACACAUGCAAGUCGAACGGCAGCGCGGGCUUCGGCCUGGCGGCGAGUGGCGAACGGGUGAGUAAUACAUCGGAACGUGCCCAGUAGUGGGGGAUAGCUCGGCGAAAGCCGGAUUAAUACCGCAUACGACCUGAGGGUGAAAGCGGGGGAUCUUCGGACCUCGCGCUAUUGGAGCGGCCGAUGGCAGAUUAGCUAGUUGGUGGGGUAAAGGCCUACCAAGGCGACGAUCUGUAGCGGGUCUGAGAGGACGACCAGCCACACUGGGACUGAGACACGGCCCAGACUCCUACGGGAGGCAGCAGUGGGGAAUUUUGGACAAUGGGCGAAAGCCUGAUCCAGCAAUGCCGCGUGUGUGAUGAAGGCCUUCGGGUUGUAAAGCACUUUUGGCGGGAACGAAAAGGACUGUGCCAAUACCACGGUUCGAUGACGGUACCCGCAGAAUAAGCACCGGCUAACUACGUG